GACAGAGGGUGCAAACGUUGUUCGGAAUUACUGGGUGUAAAGCGCGUGUAGGUGGCGAGGCAAGUCGGGUGUGAAAGCCCUGGGCUCAACCCAGGAAGUGCACUCGAUACUGCCUAGCUAGAGUCCCGGAGAGGUUGGUGGAACUCUCGGUGUAGAGGUGAAAUUCGUAGAUAUCGAGAAGAACACCGGUGGCGAAGGCGGCCAACUGGACGGUGACUGACACUGAGACGCGAAAGCGUGGGGAGCAAACAGG
This 253-nucleotide ribosomal RNA is filed under the name uncultured bacterium. RNAcentral describes it as "partial 16S ribosomal RNA". It matches the Rfam family "Bacterial small subunit ribosomal RNA", at positions 524 to 776 of the family's 1533-position model. The record is from RNAcentral.